UGGGGAAUAUUGGGCAAUGGGCGCAAGCCUGACCCAGCAACGCCGCGUGAAGGAAGAAGGCUUUCGGGUUGUAAACUUCUUUUCUGAGGGACGAACAAAUGACGGUACCUCAGGAAUAAGCCACGGCUAACUACGUGCCAGCAGCCGCGGUAAUACGUAGGUGGCAAGCGUUAUCCGGAUUUAUUGGGUGUAAAGGGCGUGUAGGCGGGAAAGCAAGUCAGAUGUGAAAACUAUGGGCUCAACCCAUAGCCUGCAUUUGAAACUGUUUUUCUUGAGUGCUGGAGAGGCAAUCGGAAUUCCGUG
RNAcentral lists this ribosomal RNA (303 nucleotides) under uncultured bacterium. RNAcentral describes it as "bacterial SSU rRNA". It matches the Rfam family "Bacterial small subunit ribosomal RNA", at positions 355 to 673 of the family's 1533-position model. The record is from RNAcentral.